Molecule: non-coding RNA, 28 nt
Filed under: Mus musculus (house mouse)
Lineage: Eukaryota; Metazoa; Chordata; Mammalia; Rodentia; Muridae
Source: RNAcentral
UGGCGUUCCCCCUGUACUGAGGCAUAUA